This 269-nucleotide ribosomal RNA is filed under the name uncultured prokaryote. RNAcentral's name for it is "partial 16S ribosomal RNA". It matches the Rfam family "Bacterial small subunit ribosomal RNA", at positions 524 to 792 of the family's 1533-position model. The record is from RNAcentral.
UACGGAGGAUCCGAGCGUUAUCCGGAUUUAUUGGGUUUAAAGGGUGCGCAGGCGGGAGAUUAAGUUGGCGGUGAAAUUUUGCAGCUCAACUGUAAAAGUGCCUUCGAAACUGGUUUCCUUGAGUGUGGAUGAAGUAGGCGGAAUUUGUGGUGUAGCGGUGAAAUGCAUAGAUAUCACGAGGAACUCCGAUUGCGCAGGCAGCUUACUAAACCAUAACUGACGCUCAGGCACGAAGGCGUGGGGAUCAAACAGGAUUAGAUACCCUGGUA